AGUGAACGCUGGCGGUAGGCCUAACACAUGCAAGUCGAACGGCAGCACAGUAAGAGCUUGCUCUUACGGGUGGCGAGUGGCGGACGGGUGAGGAAUACAUCGGAAUCUACUUUUUCGUGGGGGAUAACGUAGGGAAACUUACGCUAAUACCGCAUACGACCUACGGGUGAAAGCAGGGGAUCUUCGGACCUUGCGCGAUUGAAUGAGCCGAUGUCGGAUUAGCUAGUUGGCGGGGUAAAGGCCCACCAAGGCGACGAUCCGUAGCUGGUCUGAGAGGAUGAUCAGCCACACUUGAACUGAGACACGGUCCAGACCCCUACGGGAGGCAGCCGUGGGGAAUAUUUGACAAUGGGCGCAAGCCUGAUCCAGCCCUACCGCGUGGGUGAAGAAGGCCUUCGGGUUGUAAAGCCCUUUUGUUUGGAAAGAAAAGCAGCAGGUUAAUACCCCGCUGUUCUGACGGUACCCAAAGAAUAAGCACCGGCUAACUUCGUG
Molecule: ribosomal RNA, 492 nt
Filed under: uncultured bacterium
Lineage: Bacteria
Description: partial 16S ribosomal RNA
Rfam family: Bacterial small subunit ribosomal RNA
Source: RNAcentral